RNAcentral lists this long non-coding RNA (397 nucleotides) under Bos taurus (domestic cattle). RNAcentral's name for it is "long non-coding RNA NONBTAT011530". The record is from RNAcentral. Lineage: Eukaryota; Metazoa; Chordata; Mammalia; Artiodactyla; Bovidae.
AUCUUCCCAAAGUUUUUAUGUUUCUCCUAUUUUUUUUUUCUUGUAUGUGUGUGUCUUGUUUAACUGGCACCCUAAAUGGGUGCUCAGGUGAUUUGGUCAUUGGUAUUAACAUGGGAACAGAAAAAUGAGUGCACUUUUGUUACUCUGCUUGGCAUUGGGGUUGGAAGCAAGUGAGGCAGUGGAGAGAGGGUAAUUGAAAGAAAGCUGAUGAAGUAAUGGACUACAGGGGGUCUCUACUGGAUAAAGAAGGGAGGAUAAGUAGAAAUAACAUUUAGAAAAUCUAGGCAGGGGUAGGAUAAUAUUGAAAACAUUGAACAAUCAGUGUGAUACAGAUUUCAACCAAUUUAAGAAGUUGCUGCCCCUCAGAAUUGAUUAACUAGUAAAGAGAAGCUGGCAG